AUACGUAGGGUGCAAGCGUUAAUCGGAAUUACUGGGCGUAAAGCGUGAGCAGGCGGUUUUGUAAGGCAGAGGUGAAAUCCCCGGGCUCAACCUGGGAACUGACCUUGUGAAUGCAAGGCUAGAGUACGGCAGAGGGGGAAGGAAUUCCGGGUGGAGCAGUGAAAUGCGUAGAUAUGCGGAGGAACACCGAUGGCGAAGGCAAUCCCCUGGGCCUGUACUGACGCUCAUGCACGAAAGCGUGGGGAGCAAACAGGAUUAGAUACCCUGGUAGUCCACGCCCUAAACGAUGUCAACUGGUUGUUGGGUCUUCAUUGACUCAGUAACGAAGCUAACGCGUGAAGUUGACCGCCUGGGGAGUACGGCCGCAAGGUUGAAACUCAAAUGAAUUGGCGGGG
RNAcentral lists this ribosomal RNA (395 nucleotides) under uncultured bacterium. Its description in RNAcentral is "partial 16S ribosomal RNA". It matches the Rfam family "Bacterial small subunit ribosomal RNA", at positions 523 to 918 of the family's 1533-position model. The record is from RNAcentral.